CCACCGACGCAUCUCACGGCGGGGUUCUAAUUGCGUGCGCGUAUGGAUGCUCCUAUUCCUGCCGCCUUUCUAGCAACUAGUUAAUGUUAUGAUGCAUCGUUGGUCCGGCGUACGACGGCGCCUGGUGCGAUUUAUGCGUCCGGAAGCCCUUUCAGCCUCCAGGCAUGUCCCCACCUGCCUCACAGCCACCGACGCAUCUCACGGCGGGGUUCUAAUUGCGUGACCGUAUGGAUGCUCCUAUUCCUGCCGCCUUUCUAACAUCUAGUUAAUGUUAUGAUUCAUCGUUGGUCCGGCGUACGACGGCGCCUGGUGCGAUUUAUGCGUCCGGAAGCCCUUUCAGCCUCCAGGCAUGUCCCACCUGCCUCACAGCCACCGACGCAUCUCACGGCGGGGUUCUAAUUGCGUGCGCGUAUGGAUGCUCCUAUUCCUGCCGCCUUUCUAGCAACUAGUUAAUGUUAUGAUGUAUCGUUGGUCCGGCGUACGACGGCGCCUGGUGCGAUUUAUGCGUCCGGAAGCCCUUUCAGCCUCCAGGCAUGUCCCCACCUGCCUCACAGCCACCGACGCAUCUCACGGCGGGGGUCUAAUUGCGUGCGCGUAUGGAUGCUCCUAUUCCUGCCGCCUUUCUAGCAACUAGUUAAUGUUAUGAUGCAUCGUUGGUCCGGCGUACGACGGCGCCUGGUGCGAUUUAUGCGUUCGGAAGCCCUUUCAGCCUCCAGGCAUGUCCCCACCUGCCUCACAGC
RNAcentral lists this long non-coding RNA (740 nucleotides) under Volvox carteri. RNAcentral describes it as "long non-coding RNA (VCAR_LNC004013)". Lineage: Eukaryota; Viridiplantae; Chlorophyta; Chlorophyceae; Chlamydomonadales; Volvocaceae. The record is from RNAcentral.